CGCAGAGGAAGUCGAAAGUGGCGCGGGACAUCCGAAAGGCGCGCCGGAAUUCGUCCUCCGGGAGGUCCGGAUGGUUGUACCGGUCCCACCAGUCGCGGGACCGGUCCUUGACCCAGAGCCGGCGUUGCCCGGGCUGCAACGGCGGCGGCGCAGCCUGUGGCUCCUCCCCUGAGGCGUCAUCGUCGGCGUGCGGGGGGGAAGAGGAGGCGAAGGGCUUCAAGGCAACGAGCCGGCUGGGGGAUAAGUCAUCCGCUCGCGGGCGCUUCUUGACUUUGGAUUCCAUGGCCAGGGGGAGAGCGGAAUGGGGUUGAGGAUCGGGGAGGACGGCGGUGGCGGGGUCGUGGAAAAAGGAGUAGUAAUAGGAGAAGAGGUCGUCGUCGAACGAGGCGGCGGGGACAAGCGAAGGAGUCUGAUAAGUGGUCAUGAAUGAUCCCAGUGGCGGCGGGGGUUUCCUUCGUUCGUCUGCAACUCGAGCUCAAGAAUUUUG
Molecule: long non-coding RNA, 487 nt
Filed under: Musa acuminata (dwarf banana)
Lineage: Eukaryota; Viridiplantae; Streptophyta; Magnoliopsida; Zingiberales; Musaceae
Description: long non-coding RNA (MACU_LNC002853)
Source: RNAcentral